UGGGGAAUAUUGCACAAUGGGCGCAAGCCUGAUGCAGCCAUGCCGCGUGUAUGAAGAAGGCCUUCGGGUUGUAAAGUACUUUCAGCGGGGAGGAAGGGAGUAAAGUUAAUACCUUUGCUCAUUGACGUUACCCGCAGAAGAAGCACCGGCUAACUCCGUGCCAGCAGCCGCGGUAAUACGGAGGGUGCAAGCGUUAAUCGGAAUUACUGGGCGUAAAGGGCUUGUAGGUGGCUGGUUGCGUCUGUCGUGAAAGCUCAUGGCUUAACUGUGGGUUUGCGGUGGGUACGGGCUGGCUUGAGUGCAGUAGGGGAGGCUGGAAUUCCUGGUGUAGCGGUGGAAUGCGAAGAUAUCAGGAGGAAUACCGAUGGCGAAGGCGGGUCUCUGGGCUGUUACAGACACUGAGGAGCGAAAGCAUGGGGAGCGAACAGG
RNAcentral lists this ribosomal RNA (429 nucleotides) under Chloroflexota bacterium. RNAcentral describes it as "Chloroflexi bacterium partial 16S ribosomal RNA". It matches the Rfam family "Bacterial small subunit ribosomal RNA", at positions 355 to 776 of the family's 1533-position model. The record is from RNAcentral. Lineage: Bacteria; Bacillati; Chloroflexota.